UGGGGUGUCGCCAAGAGGUUAAGGCACGGGACUUUGACUCCCGCACUGUAGGUUCAAAUCCUGCCACCCCAGCCA
RNAcentral lists this transfer RNA (75 nucleotides) under Clostridium sp. CAG:138. Its description in RNAcentral is "transfer RNA-Gln(TTG)". It matches the Rfam family "tRNA". Rfam says of the family: Transfer RNA (tRNA) molecules are approximately 80 nucleotides in length. Their secondary structure includes four short double-helical elements and three loops (D, anti-codon, and T loops). Lineage: Bacteria; Bacillati; Bacillota; Clostridia; Eubacteriales; Clostridiaceae. The record is from RNAcentral.